GGAGGCGUCGCAUAGUGGCCUAGUGCGCAUGCUUGGAAAGCAUGUAUAUCGCAAGGUAUCGUGAGUUCGACUCUCACCGCCUCCGCCA
This 88-nucleotide transfer RNA is filed under the name Candidatus Moranbacteria bacterium CG_4_9_14_3_um_filter_40_7. Its description in RNAcentral is "tRNA-Ser". It matches the Rfam family "tRNA". Rfam says of the family: Transfer RNA (tRNA) molecules are approximately 80 nucleotides in length. RNAcentral also lists the same sequence under 2 other names. Lineage: Bacteria; Candidatus Moraniibacteriota. The record is from RNAcentral.